Molecule: long non-coding RNA, 2396 nt
Filed under: Patiria miniata (bat star)
Lineage: Eukaryota; Metazoa; Echinodermata; Asteroidea; Valvatida; Asterinidae
Description: uncharacterized LOC119734626
Source: RNAcentral
CCCUGGGGACGAGGUUGCUGCCGGUGGUUUCUUGUCUGUGAAUUUCUUCGGCAAUUUUAAUUGGGUUAGAAUUACACAUGGAUCAUGUAGUACUCAAAUCCCCAAAACAAUUAACCAAAGAGAAACCACCGAACCAAUUCUUGGUUAUGACCGCCAAAACGCACUUUUUAUUGUGAUUUGUGGGCAGUUUGUUUACGAAGAUGCCUACAUUUAAAGAUGGCGGCGCCCACAUCGACGCUCGGCCGAAUUUCCAGCUUUGAAUUACGUCCAGUUGGGACAAAAAAGGGACGGAGGAACUUUACUGAGAGAAGUUCAUCAACUUGAGGAAACAAAUAUUAUGAAAAAUUCCAGGAAGGAAGGAGAGGCCAUUGGAAUACAAUGUAUGGACGAGUUCUUGGUUCUCCAGAAAAUUAAGAGUCAAAAGCACAGGAGCAAGACAAUUAAACCCCAUCAUCGUGGACUUUCUUCACCAUCACGGAUUGCACACCAGGAGCGAACCACUCCACCAGUCUCCCACUUCUUAUUUCUAGCAGUGGAGGAAAGUCCAGGGUCAAAGCCUCUUCAAGUCAGCAAAGAGGAGUACUUACAUUUCUGUUUGCCAGCGUUGUUUAGGAUCUCUGACAUUAGAGACUAAUUGCACAAUGAUCUUCUGAAUUCUCGGACUGGUCCUGACACUUGUCUAAAGAUCUGUUCUGCAAUGUACAGGGGUGUGAAAUCUCAGCUUAAAAGCUGAUUUCAGCUUUUAUUGUUUUGGAUUUCAGCUUUUUUCCCUCACUUGCUGUGUACAAAAGUAUAGCAGAUUGCCAAAGUUCAGCUUUUUACACCUUUUUCAGCUGUUUUUAGCUAUUUUUAUCAGUGGUCACUCACAUCCCUGAAUGUACUUAAAAUAAAUGUAGGUGCUCAAUGUAUUGUGCUGUUUACACUAGCAAACCAUAAAGUUAUUGAAACAGGUCCAGGUCAACAUAGCAAACCAUAACAUUAUUGAAACAGGUCCAGGGUCAUCAGAGCAUGUUGCCUAGCCCGGUUGACAUUUAUAAUUACAUCAUAUAAGUGUUUGACUGUUUACAUUUAUAUGCUGGGGAAAAGUUAUAUUUCUAAUGAUUUAAUUGUCAGAAAUAGAAAAUGUUCAGGCCUCUUUUUAAGAAAAGAAUAUUCCCUUUGUAUUUGCGAUGUGUGUUAAUUUACUUAAUAUUCUUGUCACUUUUUUUAAGGGAUCACAAUGAUUUCUGUCUUCAUGAGCUACAGCAAAGGAAACAUUUCCAUUUUGAAAUAUAAAUAUUUCAUUAAGUGCCUUUUUAUCUAAACAUUUGGAUAUUUUUUUUCUGGGGGGGGGGGGAGGGUGAUUAUACAUGCUGUUACUGUUGACCUGUUAUGUAUGUACAUAUGUUUUUAAAUUCUAUUGUACUAUGUAGGUCCUCAAGAUACAUUUUUGUGUUUCGCUGACAGUUAACGUUUGUGCUGAACGAUUGAGCAAAAGGAACAUCUUGGUUGCUAGUGUGAUUUGGGGUCACAUGCACUGUGAGUAUAGUUGACACGGUUCACAAACUUUAAGCCUUGUUUUCUUAAAACAAUGGGGCAUGACUCUAUCAAUUUCAAAAGGGUAUAGCAACAGCUGGGAACAAGCUACAGCAACAGACAAUACAUCAUUUAAAAGCUUAUGACUUUCUCUUUCCAGAAAUGUCAUAAUCUCAUUUUUUAAAUUUUGCAACCACCCAUUUUGUGGUGCCAGGUCACAUAUGUCAAGCAAGCACUGUGACCAGUCAAACUCAGUCAACAGACCAUGAACAGACAAAGCAGGGCAGGCAAGAGGUAGGCACAGCUGGCUUUACAAUCACCUACAGUCAAAGCGAAGCUGUAUCAAGUUACAUAACAGUCACAGCCAGUCACUUGAUUGAUUUUGACUGAAAGGACUACUUGGCACAGAAUGUAUGAUUGCAUACUUAGGAGGGUUAAUGGAUUGUCUAUUGGCUUUUGGUCAUCAAUGGAUGUCUGACAAAGCCAGUAUUUGAAAAAAAUAGAAGUCUGGAAUGAUUAAAUAGAAUAUAUCUUUACCUUGUACAUGAAUUUGACCGAUAACAGUAGCGAAAAUCCCCCUAAUUUAGCAAUAUUAUUUGACUUGGCCCAUAGAGGAAAGCAAUACAUGUUGUAUGUUAAUAUAAAUAUUUAAAAAGAAAUGCCUUUACAAGCCUUAUGGAGUGCCACAUCUAUUUGUAAAGUUAUGUAUAUUUUGUAUAUUUUGUGUCACAGUGCGCUGUAACUUUACUUGUAAAGGUGUUUAGAAAUACGUGUGCCUUGUUAUACAACAAAGAAUAAAAAUACUGCCUUUUUCACCACCGGUGAUAUAGUAAAGCAAUGAAUUCUCUUAGAGCAAUAAAAAUUGAGUAUUCAAUACCUAA